AUCCAAGUAACAGGCUAUAAAAUAAGAUUGGAGCUUAGAUUAUCCCUCCCAUCUAUCCCAGUCUUUUCCUCCAAAUAGGCUGUUAGACUGGAGGGAAAGGCGCAGAUCCAUAGGAAGGAACUUGGAUGUGGCCACUGUCCAUCAGCCUUCCUAGGAGAAGAGUAAGGUGAGGGCCCCUUAUGGAACUAAUGGAAGCCCGGGAAAGUUUGGAACUGAAUGUCAGGGGUUAGCGAUCAGCCAGUCAGAGAGGAGCAUAAGUUUUUUCCACCAGGUGCAGCUGAGCUAGAGUGGGGAGAUUCAAGGCCAGACAGACCUGGGAGGCCAGACAAACAGUCCAGAGUCGAGGAAGAUCGGCAGACAAUAUGAAACACACACAGCUAUCUGGGAGGACCAAGUCAUUGUGGGUGUGGCAAGGGAGUGGACAGGUUGCUCCAAGGCCUGGUGUACCUCUAUGUUAUAAAGAAACAGUGAGGGGCUGGGGAUUUAGCUCAGUGGUAGAGCGCUUACCUAGGAAGCACAAGGCCCUGGGUUCGGUCCCCAGCUCCGAAAAAAAGAACCAAAAAAAAAAAAAAAAAA
RNAcentral lists this long non-coding RNA (576 nucleotides) under Rattus norvegicus (Norway rat). RNAcentral describes it as "long non-coding RNA NONRATT003427". Lineage: Eukaryota; Metazoa; Chordata; Mammalia; Rodentia; Muridae. The record is from RNAcentral.